GAGGGUAUAGCUCAGUGGUAGAGUGCAUGCCUAGCAAGUAUGAGGUCCUUGGUUCAAUCCUCAGUACCUCCU
Molecule: transfer RNA, 72 nt
Filed under: Camelus bactrianus (Bactrian camel)
Lineage: Eukaryota; Metazoa; Chordata; Mammalia; Artiodactyla; Camelidae
Also listed under: 2 other names
Rfam family: tRNA
About the family: Transfer RNA (tRNA) molecules are approximately 80 nucleotides in length. Their secondary structure includes four short double-helical elements and three loops (D, anti-codon, and T loops).
Source: Rfam by way of RNAcentral